Molecule: long non-coding RNA, 37521 nt
Filed under: Coffea arabica (coffee)
Lineage: Eukaryota; Viridiplantae; Streptophyta; Magnoliopsida; Gentianales; Rubiaceae
Description: long non-coding RNA (CARA_LNC001149)
Source: RNAcentral
UUUUUUUUUUUUUUUUUUUUAUGGAAUGCCUGCAUGUUUUUUGGACUAGAGUAAUCGGCCCUAGUAUGUUGAAUGGCCCAAAAUCAUUGUGUCGUUUAUAUUUUACCCAAAUAAAAAAUCUAAUUUUGUAAUUUAACCCCUAAUUUUUAAGUAAUUUUAUUAUGACCCAAAUUUUAUAUUUAUUUCAUUUAGGUCCUUAAUUUAAUUGCAUUUUGUAUUCAAAACUUUAUCUUUAUUAAAUUUUGAUCCCUAAUUUUUGUAAAAUUAAAUUUUGGCCCCAAAAACUUUCUAAUUUUUCAAUUUGAUCCCUAAUGGUUUUUUUUUUCCUUAAUUAUAAUUGUUUCCUUCCUUUAGCUGUUAAUUAUGCUUCUCUUGCUUGCAUUUAAAUUAUAAUUUUUGAGUGUUUUGAAUUUAUUUACAUUUUAACAUAAUAAUGUGAAUCUAGUACAUUUUUUUAAAUACUUUCAAUUAAAUUGGUGUCGUAAUCCUUUUGUUGAUUUUGAAUAUACAUAGGGCAACCUUAGCUCAUUUAGUCACCAUUUUGAAAGGGAGGUACCUCUACUAUCUUUUGGAUUCUAAUUACAUGAUCUUAUAUGCUUCUAUGUGCUUGCAUGUAUUUAUAUAUUUAUUUAUUUAUUUUAAAUUUCUAUUCAAUUUUUAUGUGCGUUUGAUCUAAAUUUUGUAAUUAUUUGGAUGAUAUUUAUAUAUCUCAAGAUGUAAUAGAUAGGUAAUAUUUUUGCAAAAAGUUGUAAUUAGAUAGGCUAAUGUAAUAGAUAGGAUAGAUAGAUUUAUUUUAUUAUAUUUUUUAUUUUAGAUUGUAAUUAGAUUCCUCAUUGUAAUAGAUAGGAUAGAUAAGUUCAUUUUAUUAUAUUUUUCAUUUUAGAUUGUCAUUAGGUCCCCCAUUGUAAUAGAUAGGUUUUGUGUGUUUAUGUAUCUUACGUGCUUACGUGUUUUAACUGCUUUUCUUUGAAUUUUAUAUCUAGAUAUUAUGUUUAUAUUUUGUGUGUUCUAUGUGAUCUUAUAUGUUUACUUGUUUUAAUUCAUGUUUUAUUUGUUUUACUAUGUAUUAUAAACACACAACAUCCCCACUCUAGUUAACGCUAGUUGUGGCCCUUGCUCACUUCCUUGCUAAUCCAACACUAGUAAGGAUCUUUAGAAAUAUGUUAGUUCAACGCUGGACCCUUAGGUUAUCCACGUGUUAGAUUUAUCUCUUGUGUGUCGUUCAUUGCAUUUUCACUCAUUUUUCCUAUUUAGGCAACUUUUCUCAUUUACAUGAUAUGUCCUCCUAUAUUGUCCCUUUAUCCUUGUAUGCUUGAGGCAUAUCAUCUAGAUUUACAUUUUAUUUAGAAAAUUAGACAAAUAAGUUAGUUCUUUUGCUUGCUUAUGUAGAAGAGUCACUUCUAGAAUCUGAAAAAUGGACAAUUAUAGCUUUCUAACUUAAAUACUCCAUUAAUCCCCCUAUUAGAAAGAAAAUUAUAUCAUGAGUUUUUGUUUCUCGUACUCAUUAUGUUGCAUUCUCUUUUCUUUGGCCACUUGUAUUUAUAUAUAUAAUUUAAUUUUCUUUUUUUAGUCUUAUCCUUACAUACUCAUUACCCCUUCAAGGAAUUAUUUUGAACUUUGCAAUUAAUGCGAUUGGUACUAAUUUGAUCUUGAAUGGACAUUACGCCUCCUUUCUAUACUUUUUUCAAAUUUAGGUUUGUAUCCAUGUAAAAAUAUCCAAAGGUGAUAAGUUUAAAUGUUAGAUUAGGAAAAUUUUGACUAAAUCUCGCAACUAACUUAGACUAGAUUGAAAGGGUACCUUAGGUUUGAGCCGAUUGAUUUUUGCCUUCCCUUUCUUUAACCGUGACUCCCAAACUCAUUUUUCCUCAUUUCAAAAAUCUAGAGGUUGUCGAAAAGGGUUUUAUUUUAUUUUGUUUUAUUUUAAUUUUUUGUUAAAAUAUCUUUGGGUGACUUAGUACACCUAAAUUUGAUACCAAGUGGUGACUUCCUUUUUUUUCUGAAACCCUUUUAGACUAAAUUUUUGACCCAAACUGUUGCAUCUUUCUAGUCUCAUUUUAGGCCCUUUUUCAUUCAUUUUUUAAUUGAAAAACACAUUUUUUGCAAAAUCUUUUUUAUCCCAAAAAAUGGGACGUGAUAGGAUUUUGCAAGGACGCAAAGUUCUAAAGUUAGAGAGAAUAAAGUAUCCUACAUUAGAAGUGGUAAGAGAAAAUGAAUGGUUUAUGAACUUGGGUCAUUUGGCCAAUGAGUAAUUUGGGUGGGAACCUCCAAAGUCUAGAAGGAACUAGGAGUAUAAGAACAACCAAGUGGACAGUUUGGAUUUUGAUGAAUUUUGCAAGGAUACAAAGUUCUAAAGAUGGAGAGAAUAAAGUAUCUCACAUCGGGAGUGGUAAGAGGAAAUGAAUGUUUUAUAAGUUUGGGUCCUUUGGCUAUUGAGUAAUUUGGUUAUCUGGGCUAGCUCUUGGACCCGAAUCGUGAUAGUGUGUGCUGUGUGUGUAUAUAUGUAUAUACAUAUACAAAAUACACACACAUACACAUAUCGAUAUGGUUCUUUGACAAAUACAAAGAACAACAUCAUUAAAAAAAUGAAGGAACAAUCAAUAGUAAGGAUAUCCAGGGAAUCUAUGAGCAAAACAACUACACCAACAAAUAUCUCCAAACACUUGGAGAAUAUCUUUUAACCCAACCUAUUCCCAAAAUACUUACUAUAACCACUUCUUCAUCAAACCCAACACAUAUAUUCUGUAUGUGUGUGUGUAAAUGGGCAGUCUUGGAGGAUUCAAACUCUAUUUUUGACUAGUUAAUUUAUUCUGAUAAGCACAAGACUACAUACUCAAACAGAUAUAUGUACACACACAUAUACAUACAUACACACAUACAUAUACAUAUAUAUCUGUGUGUGUAUUUGCAUGUGUAUAUGUGUAUAUAUAGAUAUAAUGUUCCUAGAAUAAUAUUGUUUGUAAUGCCUUUAGCCAAAAGAAAAGUUUCUUUGAUCGAGACUAAUGAAAAUUGAAUUUUCACGUUUGAAAGUUGGAAAUGGAUAUCUAAUUUUGAGCCAUUUGUAUUUUGGAGUCCAUCCUUAGUUUGUUCAAAGAACUUAGUGGGAAUAAGUCCUUCGUGGAUGCAACUAAAGUCAGCUCCAGUAUCAAAGAGGACUUCUAUUUCGAGGAUAUAAUCAUCAUAGAUAAUUAGUUUGAUUUGGACUAGGAAUUUUUUGUCAAAAAUUCUGGACAAUUGGUUUAGGAAUUCUAUAUCAUCUUGUGUGAUUGAGUUUUCUUGUAUGGUUUCAAACGUUUUUGGUUGUCAGGUAGCAAGGAUUGUACGGCAAGGCUAUCUAAUUCUUAUUUUGCUUUAAUUGCUCUAAUUUCAUCUUUAAGAAGAACAAUUUCAAGCUAAAAGUCUUGGAUUGAUAUUGGUUUUGUUGGCUUGGAUGGGAAUCGGUUAAGGAUGUCUGUAAGGUUAUAGGUAUUAAGAAGUUUGGGGUCUCUGGCUAAUGGGUAUAAGGAAAUAUUUGAAAGAAUACUUGGUGGUCUGUUUAGGGAUUCUUUGAAUUUGUUGAGAUAAAACUUUCUCUUUUCAAGGUCAAGAAUGGUUUCUAUGAAGAUGAGAAGAAGGUCAUGUUCCUUUGUCAAGGCAUUUACAAUUGCAUUUCCUUUUUUUUUUUUUUAUCUUCAUCACUAUUGGUAGUAGACAAAGAUGAAACAUCAUCAUCCUCAAGUUCAUUUUCAUAAUUUUGUUUUUCACGUUCUAAAUCAUCAUUGUUGGCUUCUGUAAGGAAGUUGGAUAAUUGGUUCAGUACUUGUUCAUCAAAAGACCAAGGGUGCUGAUUCUUUUGUGUAUUUUGUAAUAUUUGGCUAUAUGUCCAUGUUGUUUGCAACUAUGGUAGACAAUUGCUGGUAAGGCUAGUGAGUUUUGGAUAGGAGUUGGAUAUGGAUUUUCUGGGAAAUGUAAUGGUUUUCUAGGCUUAUAAGGUAGUGGUUUCCUUUUUUGUUGAGAAGGUUUUUGAUAAAGGUUUAGGUUUUCUUCUGGUUUUUGUAUGAUAGUUGGGUAGGCCAAACUAUUCACAAAAAGAACCAAGAUCUUUUGUUCUUUGUGCUUAAUCUUUUGCAAACUAUCUGAACAUCUUGUCUUGCCUGUAAAUUUUUAGAGCAACUUGUUGGACUUGGCUGGUUAGUUGUCCAUAGGUAAUUGUUUCCUAUGGUACAAUACCAUCAUAUCGGUUUCGUAUUUCUUCUCAAACAAGGUCUCUUAAUGAUUUGGGAAGGCUGUCUAAUAACUUUUCUUUCCAAUAUGCUUGACUACAAUUUGAUCUUGAGUAUAUACGAGUCAGGAAAGUAUAUUUGUACCAUCUAAAAUUGAAAAGAUUCCUACAUUUAAGAUUGUUUAGUAGUUCUGAGGACUUGUCUCUGAAUAUCCCUAGAUCACCAAUGAAUGUUUUUGCGAUUGUGAAUAUUAGGGUUGCUAUUGUAUCUGAGAUAGUUUCACCAUCCUAUAGGAUUGGUUCUCCAUCUGCAUCUAAUUUGAUUGCAUUUACAAUUUUCUCUUUGUCUUCUAAGGUAAGAUGUUCAUCCUACCAUUCUUUUGAACUGUCCUAUAAAUCCCAUAAUGAGGACAUGAGUUGCAAGCUGGUCAGUACAUCAAUGAUUUGUUCAAUAAGAUAUGGGUACCAUGGUUAUUUACUAGAGGAUUGUAAUUAUAUCAUAUUCAGAAACUCUAUCUAUGCUCCAUUUGUAGAUAUUUUUUGCAUUGCAAGAGUUUUGGAGGAUGUUUGGUUUUUUCUUCAAUAAGGUCAUCUGGGUAAGUUGCCUUAGAGUAAUAGGGUUUUUGGGAAUUUUUCCAAUUCAAAGUUGGAUUAUAGGAUGGUCUGGGUAUGCUAAGUUUGGCUAUUUAAUUAGAAGAAGAGGCUACGGAUUCUAGAGCAAGUUCAUUUAGAACACAAUUUGUUUGUUUAGGAGGUUGAUUAACGAAUGUAGGAAAUUCUAGUGAUGGUUCAUCUAUAAUGCAGGUCAAUUGUUUGGUAGGACGAGCUGAUACAGGAUUGAUCCGUGUAAGGGAUUCUAAUUUAGAGUUUUCUAAAGUAUAGGUUGACUAUUUGGUGGGUUAAUUAACAGAGGUCGAGCCUUGUUCGGGUGAAUUUUGUUUGUUUAUGGGAGUGACAAAAGAUUGGUCAAUCUUGACUAUUCUUUUUUUGAGUUCAUCAUGGAUUUGUUUUGGAGUUCUUUGUGAAAUUUGUUUGGUAUUUCAUGGGGUCUAAAUAAGGGCUUAGAAGAGGAAGUGGUUGUGUGUGAAGAGACUUUUGAUCUAGUAAGAAGGUAUUCUCCUAGGGUUUGUAGAUACUUGUUGGUAUAGUUAUUUUGCUCAUAAAGUCCCUAUAUAUCUUUUGCAUCUACUAGACUUCCUUCUCAGGCAAUUUUUAGUUUAAAAGGCUUGCCACUAAUUUCUAUGGAUUUGUAUGAGAAGGUAAUAGACUUUGAUGCUCGGAUUUCCCUUUUUGAUAUUUGUCAUUUCUUUGAAACAUAAACUGAUAACAAGAAUGUGUACUCUAUUUCAUUCCUUAGAGCAUAGAUCUCAAACCAUUUAAAGAAUUGAAUGUGUUGUUUUCUUCUUCCACAGAAACUGUAGAAAGCUUCUUGGAUCACCUUUCUUGGUUCUCUUGUCCAAGAAUCAUUGUCUCUUGGCUUGAUUGUGUUCUGCAUAGAAUUCUUUUCUAAAACUCCUUGUCGAUCUGGUAUUCAGAAGUAAGAACUCUUAUUUCUAGCUAUGGAUUGUUCGUCAUGAUUGAAUGUGUAGGAGAUAUGGGGAGAUCUCCUUGUACUGUUAUUUCUUUAGAGGAUUCUCUUUGAUCUCCCCAAGCAGCUUCUGUUUGGACUGUAUAUUUUGUUUGAUAGAUCUUGGUUGUGUUAUUUGGUAGAGAUGAAAGAAGUUGAACGUCUUCUAAUGUCUGGAAUACCCAUACUGGUAUUGGUUGAGGAAGAUACCCUAAAGCUUCUUGAUUUGUCAAACUUGAUUUGAACUGUCCCAAUAGGGAGUUGGUUGAUACUCAAAACUGUUGUAUUUUGGGGUAGUACAUUGGGAACUAUCUUCGACAACAUCCAGUUUUCUGGAUCGGAUAUUUCAUCCCAGGUGACUAUUCUAAGCAUAGAUAUCCUAAAUCUGGUUGGAUCUAUUUAGAAAAGAAUUCUUUCUCUUUUUUGUUUGAUUUCAAAGUUCUAGUGCUGAAUGCCGAGCUUAUCACCUUGUAUUGUUUCUUGUACAUGAAAGCAACAGGAAGAAUUCCAUUUUUUGUUUUAUAGUUAGUUGUUUUUAUGUUGAAAGUUAAUGCACCCAAAAUAUUUCUAUCUUGAAGAGAUGUUUUGAAGUUUGGAAAGCAGUCGAAGUAGACUAGUCCUCUACAUAGGCUUGUUUUAGCCAUUCCAAGCAUGGAGCCAUUGAAAUUUAGAAAUCUGCGGUCUCGUAGAUGAAGAAGUAUAGAUGUGUCGAGUCCUUCCCUUGUCAACGGUUUAGCUGUAAUUUGUACAAGUCCAAAAUGGAUGUAGUUGUAUUUUUAUUAAUGUCAUUCAACGGCUCUCUCUGAUAAAAGUUUGAUUUUUUCAUGGUCAGCAUUUAGAGUAAUAGUUUGUUCAACUGUUUUAAUUGUAUAAUUGGAUGAGAUUUUCCAUGUUUACUAUUUUGAUAUAUUUCAUGUUCUUGAUACUUAGAAAAUUUUCAAUUAUCUAUAUCUUGAUUAAUAUCUUGUAUGUUUAUUUCUUUCUUUAAUGAGUGUUUAAAGAAGAAAAAUUUGAAUAAAUAGAUAUUUUAGAACUAGAUCUAAAGAAACAAGCUAUUAAAACAAGUAAAUAAUAGAAUUAAGGAAGUAGAUAAACAGAAAAUAUUAAAACAAAAUAUAGAUAUGUAGGAUCUCCCUUCCCCUUGGUACAGAUCCUUUGGGAUCCAUGAGGGAUAAAUAUAUCACUUAAACAAAUUAUGAUAUAUAUAAUAUGGAUCUAUAUGAUCAGAUCUGAAUUUUAGUGCAGUUCACCGUCUUGGGUACUAUCAUUCUCCAAGGACCUUCUUAGACCUACAGAUCUUAAUGCCAGAUCACAUGGUCUUACUAUCAGGAUUGUUCUCAAAGGCUAUUAAAGCUUGUUGUUUCUCUGCUAGAUUUGAGUUCAUAGAUUCAUACUAACAGUAUCAUAACAAAUUAAGAAACAUACUUAUCAUCCCACUUCUCACUCUAGCUUUGAUACUAGAGUGGGGCGAGGGACUGUCCCUAGAUACAAAAAAGGAUCUAAAAGUAGAGGAAGAAAGUGGGUUGUUGAUGGAUUUCCACUGAGAAGUUCAGGCAGUUGAACCAGCCAUUAAUCAAUAUAAUAACAAAUAAGUAAAAAAAGUAAAGAACAUGAGUAUGCAGGCGGCUUAGUUGACCAUUCACAAGAUAAUAUAUAUUUGAGUGAAAUUUAUUGAAGUAGUUUAGAGGAUUACAAGAUUGAGAAAAGUUUGAUCUACACUUGAUCCCAAGUUAUAACCUAAACUAGUUUGUAUUCCAAAUAAGAGGAGGAGGAUUUUUUCAACUUAGAGGGAGAAGUGAGUUAGAGAAAAUGGUGUGUUUGAGAGAUAUUUAUAGGAAAAUUUUCAUUUUGAUACAAUACCCAUUAUAGUAUACCAGUGCACUACAAUGUUGCUAUAGUGACGCUUUAGUGUAUAGUGCAGUUUCUCUUGCCAUGUUCACAAAGCAACUUGAUGGAUUGCUAUAAUAUUUUUUGGUGCUGCAGUGAAUUCUAACAUUGUUUAUUUUUGUAAAAUUUAUGAAAUUUGUGAGAAAAUCCCUUAAUAGUCAUCGUCAUUUUGUUGUAGUCCAUCAAAACAUUCUUCUAACCUUAAGGACUUUGGUUCUUGUUUAAGUACUUGUCAUUUUCAUUCUGAUUGUAGUUGGGAGAGGAUAUGUUUGAGUUGUUGGACAUGUUUUUCUUUAUCCAUUAUUGAGGCUAGUUUUACUGAUGUUUUAGACUUCUGCUGCCUUGUUUGCGGAUCUUUGGGUUUGAUUGAUUUUGGAUUCUUCUAGAACCAUACUCGAAUGUUUGCUAUUGUAUAAAGUACUGUGAAUGUCAAUAUAUUGUAUACCCCUGUCGGACAAGGAGUGGAGGAAAUUGGGCUUGUUUGAGAAAUCCAUACUUCCACUAAUAUAUACAUACUACUACAAAGAUUGAAAAGUAGUGUAGACUAAUGGGAAUAUAACUCUUUGGUUGUUCCAAUCUUUGUUCAAAUAGUUGGUAUCCUUCUUUUACAUCUGGUGCGAGAACCUGCAAGUUUGGUACAUGCACAUUCCACUAGGUUACAAAUCAAGUAGGAAAAUUGUACUUGUUUUUUUUUUUAUAAAAUAGAACAGUUAUGAAUGUUGGUUUAAUUUAUUUUGGAUAGAAAAAGGAAUGGAACCAUGCUACCUUAUAAUCCCAAUAAGUAUACUUAGGAGGAUUGAAAGGAAUCAUGAAUGACUUUGGUCAGCUUAGAUUAAUUCCCUAUUUAGACGGUCUAAUUACUUUGAGGAUUUGUGCACAAGAAUGAGUAUUGAUUACUUUUCCUGUGGGGUUGUCAUUCUUGUUUAUCAAUUCUCUAUCAUGAGGUUUGAAGAUUACAAAUUGGGAAUUUAUCAAAAUAAUUUUGUAGUAUUCUAGGUUUUGGUUAGUGUUUGAGGUAUAAAAUGAUGGUUUGGAGGGAUUAUAGAUUUGGAAAAUUCAUUUGGAUCAUUUUGUAUGAGGUUUGGCUCAAUUUGAAUAAGGGUAAUGAUUGAAUUUGUUUUAAAGUAGUUGCUUGGGAUAGUUGGUUUAUAUGAUUUUUGUUGGGUCAAUUGUUUUUCUGUGUUUGAAGGCGGGAUUGUUUCUAGUAACUUGGACUGAGAAUAUCCUACAGCUAAAGCCCAUUGUUUAAGGUUCAAAUAAGAGGGUGCUUUUGUUUCCUCUUCUUCAACCAUAUCAGUCCAUGGUUUUGAUGAAAGGAAGGAUAGAGGUUGUAUUGAGGCUAUUGGUUUUUUUUUUUUUUUUUCCAGAAACGAUAAUUGAUUAUAUUAGCUUGUGUAAGAAAUAUACACUUAAUGAGCAAAGGCUCAAUGUGAACUAUACAAGUGUCUGCGUCACUAAGGAUUUAACCAUUUCUCAUCAAAAAAAUAUGCUUAGCGCAUAACGAUUGAGAUUACUUAUGCUAUUCCUAAUUUCCUCAUAAGAAAUAUUACUUAUGCUAUUGAGGCUAUUAGUUGGAAUGGGUUUGGAUCAAUUGAAAAUAUUUCAAUCAUGAGUUGUUUUCUUGCUUUUUUGGAUAUUUAAAAUGAAUUUGAAAGACUUAAUGAGUUUGGGUCAGGAUUAGUGGGUUUGUCAAGCAAUGUUCCUUGGGCCUCUUAGGCCUGCUACUGUUAUUUCUUCUUUCUAGCCAUUAUCUUCCCUAUAGGAAUUCAUGAGUUAGAUAAUCAGGAAGAAAGUUUGAAGACACUUUAAUAUAUUCAAUUUCAAAAUAAAAAGCUGAUAAAAUCGCUUGCCAUCUAGAAUAAGUUUGUUUUGAGGCAAGGCUUUUAACGUCUUUUACUAAAACAUGUUUGCUAAUUUACAGUCUAUUCUUAAUAAAAACUUUUGGUUUACUAAUUCUAUUUGGAAUUUUGAGACACAUAAAACAAUGGUUAAAACUUCCUUUUUAAUAGUAGAAUAAUUUUGUUGAGAAUUCCAAUGUUUAGAGAUAAAGGCAAUAAUUUGUUCUUUGCCACCUUUAAAUUGUUUUAAUAUGUCACCAUAAACUAUGUCUGAGGCAUCUGUUUCUAUUAUUUUGGAGGUUGUAGGAUUAGGGAGAGAAAGAUGGAAUGGAUUUGAUUUGGGUUUUGAUUUGGCAGACUAUGUUAGUAUGUUUGUCUGUCCACGAGGGAGGUGAUAAUUUUCAUUCUAUCAAACGAAGAUUUGGCUAAGUUACUAAGGUUUGGGACAAAAUCAACAAUGUAAUUGAGACAUCCUAGGAACCUUUGAAAUUGCUAUUUUUCAAAGAUUUGAUAUGGGAAUUUGUCAGCAAAUUGGAUAGAUCUUUCUAUAGGGAUGAUUAUUCCUUAGUAAAUUAAGUGUCUAAGGAAUCGAAUUUUUGUUUGAAAGAGGCUAAUCUUUUUUUGGGAGAUAACCAAACCAUUUUUUUGGGAAAUAUGGAGGAAAGUGUUAAGGUGUUUGAGAUGUUAGUCUAUGUUUUCAGAAAAAAACUAGGACAUCAUCUAUGUAAACCAUGAUGAAGGUGGAAUAGAGGUUGAAGAUAUCGUGCGUGAUUCUCUAGAACUCAUAAGGGUCAUUUUUUAGACCAAAAGGUAAGACAUUCCAUUUGUAGUGUCUGAAAGGCACUAUGAAUGCUGUUUUGCAUAUGUUUAAAGGAUGAAUCUCGAUUUGCCAAAAUCCUGACUUCAUGUCAAAUUUUGAAAAUAUCUUUGCCGAAUGAAGUCAUUGAAGUAGAUCCUUUUUGUUUGGGAUUAGAUAUCUGAUCCAUCGAAGGGCGUUGUUCAAGGCCUUGUAAUUGAUCACAAGGCGUGGAACUACUCAUUCAAUUUAUGGUUUCUUGUUGACAUAAAAUGCUGGACAACUCCAAGGAGAUUGGCUCAAACUAAUGAUCUUUUUUAGCAAUAGAUCACUUAUCUCCUGCUAGCAAUGUUUGAGAAACUCUUGGUUCAUUUGUAUAGGUCUUGCCUUUUUUGGUAUUUCCUUAUCAUUGAAGUCAGGCUCAUAGGAAAGAUGAAUUGUGUGUUGUUUUCUUUUCUAGAAAGUAGUUGGUAUUUCAGCACACAUUUGCUUUUGGAUUUUGGACUUUGAGUUUUUUUAUUCUUUCUUGGACUUCAGGUUGUUGCAGUUGUUCUUCUAUUCUUCUGAAAACAAUUUCUUCUUUCAAAAAGUUGAUUUGAUUUUCUUUGAGAAUCAAAGAAUUAAGUGACUUAUGUGUUAGAUUCUUAAUCCAACAUUGGACUUAUAUGUGAAUAAUUAUAUGUUGCAAACUGUCAAUUAAGGUUAAACCCAAUUAAACUGAUCAAAUAUAGUUUGGGUUUAAUAUAUCUAAUAGGGUGUGGGCUUUUAAUGUGUAGAGACUUAAGGGCUCCUAUUUUUAUAAUAGGCUGAAAUAGGGUUCCAAAGGGUAACAGAAAUAUUACCUAUAAAUAGGGUCAUGGUCCUCAGGUCACACAUAUUCUUAUUUGUCAUAUUUUCUAAUACCACAAUAUAUAGCUCUUCUCUGAUAUCACAUCGUCAAGAAAGAUACCAGAGAGUUACUAAAGGGUUCUCUCAAGGAUCGGCAAAUACGUAUAGACCUGGAAGGCCACCCCAAUAUCUUUGAAAAUUCAUAUAUCAGUUUGUCAAUAUGAAUCCAGGUACGCUUCCGUUAUUUUACUGUUAAUUUAUUUUUUAAUAAUCGCCAUAUAGAUUUUGAAUUUAAUAGGUGGUUUUCACCAAUGGUUAAAUUUAGAUAACCACCCUAACAAGUAGUAUCAGAACUAGAUAUAGUUGAUUAUUAGGAAAUAAUUUGGUUUUAGUAAUUCAUAGCUUUUUAUUAAAAAAAACUAUGAUUAAUUUAGUUUUUCAUUUGCACGGCUGAAAGUUUUUGUUCCAUGGUUGCGGUCAUUUUCAUGAUUUGGCUUUAUGUUUCAGUUUCAUGUUUUGGCUUUAUAAUCCGUAAAAGAAUUGCAAUCACUUUUAGUUUUGUUGCAUGGCCAAUGAAUCAAGACUACUUGUUUGCUAAAGUCAUUCACGUGCUUCAUUAAUGAUUAUCGUGUGAAUCUGUGAACAACACGAAUCAAGUUCCAGCGUUGCGUCUCUGUCUCUAUGCUCACAAUGUUGAUUGCUUAGAUGUCAAUUCGUGACGUUGAUUGACGUGAAUUGUGUCAUUAUGCCUUCGGUUAGGUCCCACAAUAGUCAAACCUUGGUUGUUGGCUUUGAUCUUUUUCACUUGACUGAUUCAUUGUUUAUUGCACAGAUUCAUUAUUUUUAGUUAGUGAAUUCAUUGUUAUGCAAAUUGAUUUUUAAUAUAUUUAUGCUAAGAAUAUUAGGGUUUCCUUAAUUUAAGUGAACCCUAAGAAAAUUAAAUAAAACAUUUAAGUCCAAUAAAAUUCAUAUGUUUAGCCCACUAAAUGUAUAGGUUUAUAAGACAUUAUGGAUUUCAAGAAAAUUUUAGACUUGGAUAAUUAAUUGGGUCAAAUUAUGUAUAUGGACCUUUGGUUCAAUAAGUCUUGAUCUAAUUGACUGGUUUGACCAGAUUUGACUGGAUUGGCCAAGUUUGAUCAUGUUUUGAUCAUAAUUGACCAAAGUUGACUUUGAUCAAAAUUUUUGGUUAAUUUGUAUAAUUUUAAAAUUGAAUAUUAGUAUGAUUAUAUAUUUUUUGGAAUAAAUUAAUUGAAAUAAUAUGCUACCAAAGUGACUUCUAUUAUGAAAAUUAAUUUAUUUUAAAAUAUAACUGGUUGGGUACCUAUAAUUUUGUGGAUAUUGGUCGGCCCAAAGGAAGGUCAAUAUUUAAUAAAAUUACAUGUGCACUUGCGGUAAUAAAUAUGUGAUAAUUAUUUAAAUUUUACAAGUGAUUUAUAAAUUGGCCCAAAAGAAAAUUUAUUUUUUGACAUGUUAUUAUUAUCAGUAUUUAUUAUUGCACCAAGAUAUCACUUAGAAGUUAAUAUUUUUAUCCAAAGACAAAAUAUUAAUGGAACAUCAGUAUCUUGAGAUGAGAUUACCUUUAUUUGAAUUUAUUAUUGUUUUGAUUUAUGUGAGCUUGUUUUAAUUAUUUAAUGUUCUCUGUUCAGUUGUAAAUGAUCUUACAAAUAUUACUUCCAACAUCAAUAAUAUUCAUAUGUUGAGUGGCACAAACUUCAAGUCCUGAAAAGAAAAUCUCUUGAUAGUACUUGGAGUAAUGGAUCUUGACCUUGCGAUAAGGGUUGAUCCUCCCCUACCUCUUGCAGAUCAGAGUACCUCUGAUGAAAAGAAAAAUAAUGAAAAGUGGGAGAGAUCGAAUCGCUUGUGUCUGAAGAUCAUUAAAAAAGCUGUUUCAGAAGCAUUCAGGGGAACAAUAUCAGAAACGAUAGUAACCGCUAAACAAUUCCUUUAGGACAUUGAAAAAAAUGUUUGUCAAGAACGAAAAGGCUGAAAUUAGUACGCUCUUGACACGUCUGGUUUCGAUGAAAUAUAGUAGUAAAGGUAAUAUCAGAAAGUACAUUAUGGAGAUGUCUCAUCUUGCCUCAAAAUUGAAUGCACUCAAAUUGAAACUCUCCGAGGAGUUACUGGUGCAUUUGAUUUUAAUAUCUCUUUCUAUACAGUUUAAUCAGUUUAAAGUGAGUUACAUCUGUCAAAAGAAGACUUGGUUUCUAAAUGAACUCAUCUCACACUGUGUUGAGAAAGAGGAAAGGUUGAAAUAAGAUCAAAUAGAAAGUACCCAUUUGGUAUCAACUACUUAUAAUAAAAGUAAGGGACUUAAGAGAAAGAAAAAAAAAGGAGCUGCAAGUACAACGCCACAAAAGAAACAACAAAAGAAAUCAGAUAAUCAGGGAAAGAAUAGUUGUUUCUUCUGUGGAGGUGAAGGGUAUAAAAAGAAGUAUUGCACCAACUAUCACGUUUGGUGUGCUAAGAAAGGUAUGUUUUUUAAUUUGGUUUGUUCUAAGGUUAAUUUAAAUUCGGUACCUAGACACACAUGUUGGUUAGAUUUUGAUACAAUAACUCAUAUUAGUGUGUCUAUGCAGGGUUAUUUGAAUUGUUGAAAGUCUAAUGAUAAUGAAAGAUGUAUCUACGUGGGCGAUGGUAAAACAGUUUAAGUUGAAGCAAUUGGAGUUUUUAGAUUAUUGUUACAGAUCGGAUUUUAUUUGGAUCUCAAUGAAACAUUUGUUGUACCAUCUUUUAGAUGAAAUUUAAUUUUUAUUUCUGCUUUGGACAAAUUUGGUUAUUCUUGUUCAUUUGGGAAUAAAAAAUUUGAAUUGUUUCAUAAUUCAAAAUUGGUUGGUUCUGGUUCUUUAAUGCACUAGGAUAAUCUAUAUUUAAUUGAUACAAUUGUCUCAUUUAAUGAAUCUCUGCAUUUGAGUACUAGAGGAGGAGAAAGAAAACUAACCAAUGAAAAUUCAGUCGCAUUAUCGCACAAGAGAUUGGGACAUAUCUCCAAACGGAGAAUGGAAAGACUUGUGUCAAAUGAAAUUCUCGACCCCUUGAAUUUUACAGAUUUUAAUGAUUGUAUUAACUGUAUAAAGGUAAAAUAAACCAAUAAAAGGAGAUUUGAAUCCAAUAGAUUCUCAGACGUCUUAGAACUUAUACAUACGCAUAUUUGUGAGUCAUUUUUUAUGUCUGCUUGGAAUGAUCAAUAAUAUUUUAUAACGUUCAUAGACGAUUUUUCAAGAUAUGGUGUGAUGCCCCCACUUCUCCCUAAGGCGAACCAAAGGGUAUCCGCGGGACGCCUGCCUAAUUCUCGCCAGGACUCAAGCAAUUCCGUUCAAACUUAUUAUCGAUCUACACAACACAAGUAAAUAACUUAAAUACAGCAAAUGCGGAAGCGUUCGAACUUAACAAUAGUCAUCCAUUAUCCAACCUGCACGUCGGGUGUUCAAAGUACAUUAUGAAUUCCAAAUAUACAUCACGCCCCAAAAGUUACAUUUCAAUUCCAAAAGUACAACCCAAACCCAAGGGCAUGUCCAAAAUACAAUAGAAAUCCUAAACAAAAGUACAUCAGGAGGGUUUCUCCAAUACAUCUCCAAGUUCAAUUCUCUUAAGGAAAACAAAUCUACAGGGUGAGCAAAACGCUCGUGAGGCCAAGAACACACAUGCAGACACAUAGUUCAGGUAACAAGCCCAAGUAACAGUUCAAGUGAUAAUUUGUAAGUAAUUAACAAUGCCAACAAAAUGUAAACAGAAACAAUUCAAGAAUAUGGUAGCUCUCAGGAGCUAAGUUCCACUUGUUUUGCCGAUGUCAUUCGUAUAUCUCCCCGCGAUGACUCUCCGUCAAUCGGGUUGAUAUUUCUAAACCAUAGAUCACCACUUACUUCUCAUCCGUCCACCAUAUACCGCUCCGGGCCCGCACAACAUUUAUAAAGCGAUAGUCCACGAGUAUGCCAAGCAAGAUCUCUCAAUAGAUCAAGCUUAUCAUGUGAAUCUCAUGGCUCACCGAGAUUUCCGACCAAACCCAUGUCAGCUCGAGUUCCAAGAUCGGCUUAUGAGUUUGGGCGUCCCCCAUGUACAUGUAAAUGUCGAGGAGAUUCACUCCAUCGACGUAUGCACUCAUAGCAUACCAAAUCAUGUAUACAAGCAUUUGACAGGUCCAAGCAUGUAUUUCAGGAUGUGUAAGUCUAGCAAGCCAGGCCAAACAUGAAUCAAUUAUUUCAAAUGAGAACGAGUGCGAUAAAGUACACACUCGACUCCAUUUUAUCAAAACCAGGUAGGUUAAGCAAGACAGGCAUGUAUCAAGUUCACAGGAGUUCAAGUAAACAUGCACUUGACACUCACCAAGUAAAACGAGAAGAAAAGGGCACUCGAAAUUUAAGCGUCCACCGUGGGAUUCUCUUGAGGGUUCUCGUGUGUGCCCAAGGAAAUAAUAGUGAAGCAUCACUCAUAUAUCCCAAUUAUCAAGGAAGAUUGUACACUAGUACAAUCUAAAGAAAUUUUAUGAAAACAAAUCUCAAUUACUCGUAAAUCGAGAAUCAAUUAGAGUUUCUUAAAGUACAAGAGCGAUCGAGUUUUCAUUUUGGAAAAUCAAGUAUAAAACGUUCAAGUAAUAUCGAAGGAAUAAAGAGUGCUUGAAAACUCCCUUCCUUUGGAAUUCGGAAAAUUUUCAGUUUUGAUACGAUAUUUUGAAAAAUCGUAUCUCACAUUCUACAUGUCAAACAUUGGAAAACUUGGUACCGUUAGAAAUCUUUUUGAAAGUACUAAAAGUUUUUAGAAGAUACUUUUCCAUGGUUCUAAAUGAAAAAUAUUCAGAAAUGGGCUCAAAGUUACUGUUUCAGAGUACUUAAGAUUGUGUUGGGGUUGGUUUUUCGCUAAUUUUGGAAAUUCGGCAAAAUUCACACGUUGCGAGCUAGCCUCUGAAAUUUGUAAUUCAAUUAGAGUUGCAAACACCGAGAUACGGAAGCUCGAAGUUUGGGAAAAUUUCAAAACUGGUGAACAAAUUUCCAGAUUUGAGCUUCCAACUUUGGGACUUUAGUUAGGUAUCGUAAUGGACUUGGAUUGGUACAAAAUUCGGCAGUGUAAUACUCCUAUAUAAAGAUUGUCUCUCUCUCAAAUUUCAUGGAAAAAUACCUUCGGGAAGGUAGUCAACCAAACAACCAAAAUUUCGAAAAUCCUAAGACAAAACUGCCUUGAGCCUUUUGUUUUCCAUUCCAAACAUUUGGUCAAGGAAAAAUUCCUCAAACAUGGCUCAUUGGCAUAGGCAAAACCUAAGGAACAUUCAUGGUACAUUUGGUAAGUGUUUAGCACCAAACAAAAUUCAAUUAGCAAGUCUACACCAAGCCUUGCAACAAAUCUAUCCAAAAGUUAGGGUUUUUAAGAGCAGGGCAGGUUCCGUAUUUUGAUCACAAAUCACUCAUCUUAACUCAGAAUUGGGCAUGGUUUAUGGCGUUGGAAAACACAUUCAUAGAACUAUACUUUCACAGAAGAAAUCAUUUUGAAAUUCGGCACAGAACUAGCUCGAAUUUGAGCGACAAGUUGCAGCCUCAGCAUUUCGUUCCAGGAAAACAGAGAAACAGGACAGCCGAAUUUAAAUGGUUGGUUUGGCUCACAUACAUGGAACCAGAACAUGAAUUUUAUACCGUCGGAAAGGUGGGAUUGUCUAGUUUCAAAUGCCACUAACGGCACUCAAUUUCGACAUCAAAGCACAGAGUUAUGAUGAAACAAGAAAGCUGAUCUGAGCAUGUCGGGAAGAAUUCCAGGUUUACCAGCUUUGUGGAAUCAAUUCAUUUGACCAACCAAACCUCAAUAUUUUUCAAUGAAAUUUUAUACAGCAUCUAUACAACAUAUAAACAUCAUAUAUAAGUCAUUACAACCUCAAAAUUUCGCAAGAAUAGGUACGUUCAAAGCAGGGGCAGAAUCAAAACGUUUUACGCCAUGCACUUCUUGAAGUUUAUACUAAUAAUACACUAUUAAUCUACCAUUUUGAGCACUAAACCAACAUUAAAUCCAUCAUCAAGUAUCACAUCAACCAUCAAGACAAAGGUGGGAGUUCAUAGAGCCCACCUUCCAAAUUUUCCAACAAUAACAACCACCCAUAUGAAUACAAGAGCUUAAAGGUAUCCUAAAAUCUAGAAGGUUUGAUCAUUACUUACUCUAGUUGAUGUCCAAGGCAGAAAUUUCGGUCCUUAAAAGCUCCAAGAAAACCAUGGAAACCUCCUCCUUUUGAAGCCGAAUGGACUCUCCAAGGGACAAGCUAGGUGGUCUUCAAUUUUGGUGUGAAUCUAUGAAGGUUUGGUGCAAGAAUUGAAGAUGAAAAAUGGCAACUUUUGUGUUGUAUUUUGCAGCUGAUGGUUCGCCCAAGAGAGAGACUAGGAGAGAGUGUGUUUGAUCCAAUUUUGGCUUCUUAAGGAAGAUACAAUGUGUGGUGUAAAAAUCACUCCAAAGUCAACUGAGAAUAGCGCGCAUAGGGCACGUUUGGUGCUCGGUUUCUCUCGUAUUUGUUUCACUAGUGCACUAAACCUCUAGUACACUUAUAUUCUUACAAAUAUUAUUCACUCUUAAUUGUUUUAAAAUAAUGGUCUAAAGUCCCUCAAUUAAGCGCGAGCGUGAAACCGCGUAUUUCCAAUUUAGGCGCGAUUAAGUGAAACCUUCAAGAAAUUCUUGUAUCGAUCGUACCACUAACUAUCACUUGAGUACUUAAACAUAGAAUUACCUAUUUUAGAACCAUUGUACAUGUCCCCAAGUUUUCGAGCUUAUUGUACUCCCAAUUGCUAAUGUUUUCAGACACGUUUUCACUAUUGAUAUUAAUCGAGCUCCCAAAAAUUAAUUUUUGAAACGAUUCACUUUAAAAAUAUAAUGAAGUCAUAACUCCAUGUAUUUAAGUCUAAUAAGGCUAGAAAAUAAUAAUCGAAGCAAAUAUUCAAAUAAAUAAUUAAAUGAGCAAAAAUAGGAGUCGAAAAAUAAUAAUUUUUUACGAGUCCUCACAUUCUCUCCUCCUUAAGAAAAUUUCGUUCUCGAAAUUUACCUUGAUUGGUGAACAGGUUUGGAUACUUUUCUCGAAUUGCUUCUUCAACCUCCCAAGUUGCUUCCUCCAACCCAUGGUUCUUCCAGAGGACUUUUACUAAUGAUAUCUGUUUAUUUCUCAAUUUCUUCACCUUCCUAUCCAGAAGUUUAACCGGUUUCUCCUCAUAGGUCAAAGUCUCAUCAAUCUCAACAUUUUCCGGUCGUACGACGUGAGAAGGGUUCGGAUGGUACUUUUUAAGUAUAGAUACAUGAAACACAUUAUGAAUUCGAGAUAAAUUUGACGGUAAUUCCAACUUAUAGGCUACACUCCCCACACGUUGGAUAAUCUUGUAAGGCCCUACAAACCUUGGCUGUAACUUCUUUUCUUUUCCAAACAUCAAUCUUGCUUUCAAAGGUGUAAUCUUGAGAAAUACCAAAUUUUCAACAGUAAACUCCAAAUCCUUUUUUCGAUUAUCGGCAUAACUCUUUUGGCGGCUCUGGGCGGUCUGAAUUCUUUGGCGUACUAACCUUAUUUUCUCACUAGCUUCUUCAAUCCAAGAUACUGUGGUCGGGUCUAAGAUUUUUCGUUCACCUAUUUCGUCCCAACAAAUUAGAUACCUACAUUUCCGACCAUAAAGUGCCUCAUACAGGGCCAUCUGAAUAGAAGAGUGGAAACUAUUAUUGUAAGCAAUUUCUACUAAAGUCAAAAACUUACUCCAAUUCUCUCCAAAAUCCUGAACACAAGUCCUUAACAUGUCCUCAAGAGUUUGAAUUGUCCUCUCCGACUGUCCAUCAGUUUGGGGAUGAUAAGUGGUACUAAAGUUCAAUUUAGUCUCCAAUACCUCUUGUAUAUUUUGCCAGAACCUCGAAACAAAUCUCGGAUCCCUGUCGGACACGAUACUUACAGGUAUUCCAUGCAACCUAAUGAUCUCAUCAAAUACAAUCUGGCCAACUUCUCUAAUGGGUAUUUCAUAUUAAUCGGUAGAAAAUGGGUCGAUUUGAUUAAUUUAUCCACUAUUACCCAAAUCGUAUCAUGGCCUCUCUGUGUUCUUGGUAAUCCCGAUACAAAAUCCAUGGUGAUAUUCUCCCAUUUCCACUCAGGUAUUUCUAGAGGUUGCAAAAGUCCUGAUAGUUUCUGAUGUUCGACUUUAAUUUGUUGACAAAUUAAGCAUAUUUAGACAAAUUGAGUAAUCUCCUUCUUCAUGUUGUCCCACCAAUACAGACUCUUUAAGUCUUGUUACAUUUUAUUUCCUCCUGGAUGUACCGUAAACUUUGAUCGGUGUGCCUCUUCUAAAACUUCCUUUUUAAGUCCUUCAUCCUUUGGCACAAUCAUCCUAUUCUAAAAUCUCAAUACACCAUUCGAUUCCAAGUUAAAAUCUGACUUGUCCCCCUUUUUAACCUUUUCCAACCACUUCUACACUUCAGUGUCCUUUCCUUGAGAUUCCUUGAUACGUUCCAUUAAAGUGGAAUUCAAUACAAUAUUUCCCAAAAUUACUUUCCUCGGUUCCAAUCGAGAAUUCCAAUAACUAACUUCUUCCAACAAUUGGAAUUCCUUAAUCAUCAAUCCAGCCAUCUGUACUUGACGAUUCAAAGCAUUAGCCACUACAUUAGCUUUCCCUGGAUGGUACUUAAUCGUACAGUCAUAGGCUCCGUUUGGAUUAGCUGUUUUUGGGUUUGUUUUUCAAAAAUACCACUGUAGCAUUUUGAAUCUGAAAAACAAGUCCGUUUGGAUUAGUUGUUUUUGGGGUUGUUUUUCAAAAACUAUAUGAAAAACUUUUACUGUAAAUUUUUUUGGAUUAUUUUUAGAGGUAUUUUUGAAACAUAUUUUUGAGUAUUUUUAGAAUAUUAUAAUUUUUAUAUUUUUAUAUAAAUAUACAUUUAUGCAUUUAUAAUCCAUUUAUAUUUACAAAUGUAUAGAUGUAUAUUAUUAUAAAUGAAUAAAUUAUAAAUGAAUAUUAUAUAAAUGUAUAAAUUAUAAAUUAUAAAUUUUAUAUUUUUAUAUAAACAUGCAUUUAUGCAUUUAUAAUACAUUUAUAGAUAUUUAUAAAUAAAUAUAUUUAUAUAUUCAUAUAAAAAUAUAUAAAUGUAUUAUAUUAUAAAUAAUACAUAAUAUAAAUAUAUUUAUAAAUGUAUAAGUGUAUAUUAUUAUAAAUGUAUAAAUUAUAAAUGAAUAUUAUAAAUAUAUUAUAAAUUAUAACUGUAUAUUAUUAUAAAUGUAUAAAUUAUAAAUUAAUAUAUUAUAAAUAUAUAUUAAUAUUAUGUAGAAAUGUAUUUAUAUAAUUAAUAUAAAUGUGUAUAUGUAUUGAUAUUAUGUAUAAAUGUAAAAUUAAUAUUAUGUAUAUUAAUAUAAAUGUAUAAAUGUAUUAAUAUAUAUAAUACGUAAUAUAAAUGUAUAUUUAAAUGUAUAAGUGUAUAUUAUUAAAAAUGUAUAAAUUAUAAAUGAAUAUUAUAUAAAUGCAUAAAUGUAUAAAUAUAUAUUAAUAUUAUGUAGAAAUAUAUUAAUAUAAUUAAUAUAAAUGUAUACAUGUAUUAAUAUUAUGUAUAAAUGUAAAAUUAAUAUUAUGUAUAUUAAUAUAAAUGUAUAAAUGUAUUAUAUUAUAUAUUAUACAUAAUAUAAAUGUAUAUUAUAAAUAUACAUAAAUAUUUAUAUAUUAUGUAUAAAUGUACAUUUAUAUAAAUGUAUAAUAUAUUAUACAUUAUAUUAUAUAUAAUUUAUAUAACAUAUAAUAUUUAUGUAAAUAUAUUAUAAAUAUAUAAAAAUAUAUUAUAAAUAAAAUAAAAUAUUUAUAAUAUGUAUGUAUAAAUAUAUAAUAUUGGAAAUGUAUAAUAUAUAUAAGAUACAUUAUUAUUAAUAUAAUUUAUGUAUAAUAUACAUAAUUGAAAUAUACAUAUUAAUAUAUAUUAUAAAAAAAUUGAAUAAAUAUAUUUAUAAAUAUAUAUAUAAAUAAAUGUAUUUACAUAAAUAUAUAAUAUUUAUUUCAAUUGAUAUAAUAUAUAUAAUAUUAUACAUAAUUGAAAUAAAUAUAUUUAUAUUAAUAUAAUAUACAUAUAUAUAUAAUAUACAUAAUUGAAAUAUACAUAUUAAAAUAUAUUAAAAUAUAAUUGAAAUAUACAUAUUAAAAUACAUAAUUAAAAUAUACAAAUUGAAAUAUACUUAUUAAAAUAUACAAAUUAAAUAUACAUAAUUGAAAUAUAUUUGUAGUUGUUUUUGAUAUAUUGUUUGGAUAUGGUGUUUUUGAAGUUGUUUUUGAAAUACACAUUACUGUAGCAUUUGAAAUGUGAAAAAUAGUUUUUCAAAAACAGGUGCAAAAACACUCAAUCCAAACGCAGCAAGAGAUGUGUCAAGUCCUUCCCUUGUCAAGGGUUUAGUUGCAAUUUUUACAAUUCCAAAAUAGAUGUAGUUGUAUUUUUGUUGAUGUCUUUAAAUAGUUUUCUUUGGUAAGAGUUUGAUUUCUUCAUGGUCAGUAUUUAAAGUAAUAGUUUGUUCAACAAUUUUAAUUGUAUAAUCAGAGGUGAUUUUCCGUCAUUUACUAUUUUAAUAUAUUUCAUGUUCUUGAUAAUUAGGAAUUUCUCAGUUAUCUAUUUCUUGAUUAAUAUCUUGUAUGUUUAUUUCUUUCUUUAAAUGAGUGUUUGAAUAAAUAGAUGUUUUAGAACUAGAUCUAAAGAAAGAAUCCAUUGAAAAAAAGUAAGAUAAAUAGAAAAUAUUAAGACUAAUGACAUAUAUGUAGGAUUUGCAGAUCCUUUAGGAUCCAUGAGGAAUAAAUAUAUCAAUUAGACAAAUUAUGAUAUAGAUAGUAUGAAUCUAAAGAUCAAAUUUGAACUUUAAAACACCUCAUUGCCUUGGGUACUAUCAUUAUCCAAAGACCUCCUUAGCCAUAUAGGUCUUACUGCUAAAUCCCAUGGUCUUGCUAUUAUGACCAUCCUUAAAGGUUCCCAAAGCUUGUUGUUCGUCAGCAAGAUCUAAACUUGUAGAUUCAUACUAAAAGUGUCAUCAUAAGUUAAGAAAUGUACUCAUCACCCUAUUUCCCUCUUUGGUUCUAAAACCAGAGUGGGGCAAGGGACUAUCCUUAGAAGCAGGAAGGAUUUAAGACCAGAGUAAGGAAAUGGGUCACACAUGGACUGCCACUAAGAAGUUCAAGCGAUUGAACCAACCAUUCAUCAAUAUAACAACAAAUAAGUAAAUAAAGUAAAAAAAAAAAAAAAAAAAGAGUAUGUAGGCGGCUGAAUUGACCAUUCACAAGAUAAUAUAUGUUUGACUAAAAUUUAUUGAAGAAGUUUUGAGGCUUACAAGGUUGAGGAAAGCUUGAUGUUCACUUGAUCCAAGCUUGUUCCUAAGAUGUAGCCUAAACUAGUUUGUAUUCUAAAGAGAAGGAAGUGGAUUUCUUCAAUUUGGAGAGGGAAGUGAGCUGAAGAAAUGGUGUGUCUAAAAUGAUGAGUUUGAGGGUUAUUCAUAACAAAAUUUUUGUUCUACUACAAUGCCUGCCACGUGUAUAGUACCACUGCAGUAGUAUAGUGCUACUAUAGUGCGCACUACAGUGUACAAUGUAAUUUUUAUUGCCUUGUUUGCACAAUAACUUGCCAAAUUAUUAUUUUAUUUUUUGGUGCCAUAGUGAAUUUCAAUAAAAAUUGUUUUUCAUUAUAAUUGUUUUCAGUUUGUGAUUUUAAGACGGGAUCAGUCCGGUUGAGCCAUCUUGAUUUGUUUAGCAAAUGGUUGCGAACAGUUUUUUCAUUGUUUUUUGAAUCAUGUCAUCAUAAUGCGGUGCCUUGACUCCUCAGUUCUUGAGCCAAUGUUGGUUUGUUAAGAAUUAGCCUUUGAACUUUCCUCAUAUUCAAAAAUUUUUUAUCCUUUAGACUUUAAAUUGUGUAGUUUGCUAGCCUUACGUAGACAUUGUCAUGUUUAUGUAUAAGAUAUGAAGGGAUUAGAUCACCAGUCUCAGAGUUGUAGAAUAUAACAUCAUAGUUUUGGAUUCUGUCUUUCUUUUAUUCUUGUUGGUAAGAAUAGUAGUCGAUUAUGAGAUGCGAAAUUGCAUCAUUUGAAAGUCUUACUAGAUAGUCAUUAAUUCUUCUUGUAAGACAUUCAUCUCUUGGAAUAAAGUUGGAUGUUGAGCUUUCUCCUAUUAACAUUUUCCUGCCAAAAUGAAGAGAAAGCAACAAACUUUUUUGGUUAGAUUAAGUACUUGUUUAGGGAUCAGAUUUUUGAAGGCCUAAAUCUGGUUUUAGUUUUUUAGAGAAUGGAAGAAGAGCUUCUAGCCUAAGGUUUUGAGGAACAAUUCCUUCAUGAGUGACUAAAUAAGGACCAAGAGGUAAAAUGAAGGAUGUUCCUAUAAUGAUAUUGUUAGUAAUGUCUUUAGCCAAAAGGAGAGCUUUUUUUAUUGAGACUGAUGAAAAUUGGAUUGUCACAUUUGAAAGUUGGAAUUGGAUAUCUAAUUUGGAGCUAUUUGCAUUUUGUAGAUACCAAAAUUUUCUUUAUCUCAAGUUUAUUAUUAUUUUUAUUUUUAUUUUUACAUAUUUGCAAUAAAAACUGCUUAAGCAAUCAUUUUAAUUUGGUUUUGCAGGUUUGCACAAGAAAAAAAAAUCAAGAAAAAUAACUCUUUUUUAUUUAACCCCCAAACCUAAAUUCCUAAACCCCAAAGUAAACUCACUCAAAACCCAAAUAAAGGCCAAGCAAAACCCAAAAGAAAGAAAAAAGAGAGGCCAAUUGGCCCAUUUCUUUCCGCUCCAAAAAAAAAAAAGAAAAGAAACUUUGGAUCAUUUCAUGUGCUUGUGCAAUCAUAUUCGGAGAAGGAAACCAAUAUAAAGUUCGUACUGGAAAUAUUAUCACACCAUUUUUUUUCUCCCUUUCUUUCUUUCUCCCCAAGCCUUGUUGGUACAAAGACAACUCAUCUUUUUAAAAUUUUAUCCUUUAACACCUAACAAAAUUCAUCAAAAGGUUAGAAAUGAAACAAAUCAUCAUCUUUCUAGAAAUUUCAUCUGAAUCCUUAGUUUUAAGGUUUUGUUUAUUUGCAUGGGUUAUAUAAAUACAUUAAUAAGGGAGCUUUUAGGGUUUAGGAAGAGAUAUCCAUUAGUUUUUGCCUGUGUUUUGUGUGACACCCCACCUUUUCUUAGGGCACACCUCAAGGAUUAACGGACUGCUUGCUCAACUCUCGUCAGGAUUGGAUAAUCUUUCCCACACUGUCCGAGCACAAAGAACAGAAAUAACAAUCCUCAAGCAUUUUACAACCCAGUGCUAUUUACAUUAGAGUCACUAGUAGUUCAAUCUUAGAGUACAAUUCAAAAUAUUCAAACUUACAUAAAUACAUAGGAUGUUCACUAUUACAGAGAUGCUUAAACAAAACACCUAAGGUCUACUACUAGAACAACUCUUUCCAAAAUCACGAGCUCAAGUAUUCAUUCCUAUAAGGAAAACAAAGAUAAUAGGAUGAGUUUUCGCCCACAGGAACAUGCAGUCAGCAAUAAAAUGGAAAGCAAAAUCACAUAUGAGUAACAAUUUGAGAGAUAAAUAAGCACCACAAUUUACAGAGUAAAAGGAUACAGUUGGUUCUCAGGAGCCAAAUUCCCAGUUGCAGUAGCUUGAUCUAACCCAAUUGACACUCCGUCAAUGUUUAAAGAACCAAGAAUAUUGUCCGUAGACCUUCACUUUACACCAAUCCCCGUUCACCAAUUAUACCCCUUACCGGACCCGAACACCAAACAGUGAGGGUAAUACUCAAGUAUACCAAACUCCAGAAUAAACAGUAUUCAGUGAAUAGUUUCCCCAUAGCCUAUCAAUUUAUUUCGACCAAACCCUUACUGGUUCGAUUUGAUUAAUUAAACAAUGGGGUUUCGGCCCAAGUUCACGGUGUAGUCGUUAGAUAGUAUGUUCCAAACGACAUUCAAUUCAAGCACAAGUAACAUAUUUCAAGUGAACAGUAGAAUAAUCAAACAAUCAAGUGGGAUCGAGUGUGAUAAAGUACACACCCGUGCAGCCCAGAGCAAACCAAAAUCAUAGCCAUACAUUCAUAAAUUUCAAUCACAUAGUACUUCACUUAAACAACAAGUCAUGCAAGUGAUAUACUCUCCAGUUCAAAGUAGAGCAACGUUAAACGUUCAUCUCCGGGUUAUGCUCGUAUUCGUCGUCAAAGCCUAUGAGCAACCAAGAUAAAAGAUAUUAUGGUCCAAUCAUCUAAAACUUAGGUGAACCAAGUUCACAUUUUUGACUCAACUAUGCCAUACACCUAUCCAAAAUGACCCUCUCAAAAACACAAAAUUGAAAGAUAAAUUUGAAAGUGCAAAUCAAGGAAAAUCCAAAUGCGUUCUAGGGCAAUGGUUCAAGUAUGGUUUUGAAGUGAAAUGAGAGCAUUUGGACCCAAGAAACAUGAGCAAUGAAAGAGUUCCACAAUUCAUUUCAUUGCUGGAAAUUUCCAUCAACAAAACAGUGAAGAAAAACAAAGUAGUUCACAUUUUUAAGUUAUUAGAUUCACUCCAAUUCAACACACUAUUGUAGUUCAAGGUUUUAGCAAGUGAUAUGAGCAAGAUUGAGUCCAAAAGACCACUAAAUAAGGGGACUUUAAGGCUACAAACAGCAGGACAAGUAGGCUGCCAUCCUACCAUUUUUUUUCGAAAAGAAACAAGCACAACAUGAGGUUUCCACCUUCCAAAACUCAUGGUUUUCACUCAAGUUCAACCCACAAGAGUCCUAACAAAUGUUUAGAACAAGAUUUGGCCAAAACUUAACAUGAAAAGGUUGAAAAACAAGGUGGAAUACAUCACCAUCAGUUCAGCCAGCAAUUAAUUUGGAGCUAGAAAAGUUCGAGGAAAACACCAAUGAAACCUCUUCAUUUCAACUAAAAAUCAACACACAAGUAGAGUUUAAGGGUUUACCAAGUACAUUAGACAAAUUUACCACAAAAUCACCUCACGGUUAAAGGAAACGACGCUAGUUCCCACUCAGCCAGCAUCACCCCUGUUUUCCUUAAGUUUUUCCUCCAAAUUCAAAGUUAAACUUCAUGACAUAUCAACCUUAAUCAAGACCACAAGUUAUAAGAUAUAAGGAAUACUUGUUCUAGGCCACAAAGCUAACCAAAUUGUACAUAUACCUAGCCCAUAUACAACUAUACCAAAGCUGGAAAAUUGAACCCUGAGUUGAAAUUUACAACCAAAAGCUAGAAAUUCCUAUAGUGAACCCAAAAGUACAUACAAAAGCUAGAAAAUCUUCAUGGCAAGACUAAAAGGACAUAGAAAAGAUAGAAUUAGCAUUUCAAGGCUAGAAUUUUUCAAUCAAAGCUGGAAAUUUCGAACCACUACCACUACACAAACUAUGAAAUUUUCCAUGGAAUCUACCAUAAUCAAGUCAUAAAUCUACUCAAGUGCAAGAUAAAAGAGAAAAGGUGAUUUCUAGACAUAAAUACCUUCAAACGCUAUGAAGAAAUGCAACCAAGAGCUUCCUUUUUUCCCCAAAUUUCUCCACACAAGCUUUCCUUCCUUCCUUGAUACAACUUUCUAUGGAUUGGAUUAGGAUUUUAGGAUGAAUUCUCAAGGAUUGAAGCAAGGAAUCAAGUUGGAAUUUAGAGUUUUUUCCCUCUCUUUUCUUGCUUAGAGGUUCGGCCAAGAGGAGAAAGAAAGUGAAGAGUUUUGUUUCAAUUUUUCAAGAUAAAGCCAAAGACUAGUCUUGGUCAAAGAGUAGUUGGAUUGUUGACAAGUGGCGGCUCAGGGUUUAAAAUUAUCUCUUUGUCUUUCCUUUGUCUCUAAUUACUAAUCUAUAUUGUUUACCUCUAAUUCACCAUUAACACUUCUAAUCAUAUAAUCUCUCUUGUAAAAAUACCCAUUUUUAUUCACUAAAUUUAUUACGUACCUCACUAGUAGGUCCCACUUCUAUAACACAUUACGAACUUAACAUGCACUAACUUAUAGAAGAAAAACGAUAAAAAUCUUGACUCUCUUAUAAAAGUAUCUAAGAAAUUAAGACAAAUAAAGUAAAAUAAAGGAAAAUGUAUUCAAAAAAUAAGAUAAAAUAUAAAAUAAUUUUCGAGUUCUCACAUUUUGAAAAUCAUGCAUAACCGGCUAGUUCAACCAGUUGAACCGGGUAGGCAUCCGAUCCGAGUUGAUCUAAAAACCCGUCAAAUAAAAACUCGGUCAAAAAUUGAGUUUGACCAAAAACCAUACGAACCGGAUUUUUUCUAUCUUUUCUUUUUUUACCUUUUUGUUUCCCCUUUUUUAUUCUUUCUUUUAACUACUCUCAAAUCUCUUCAUAUAUCCUACCAUAAAUCUCUCUUAAACAACUCCAAUGGAAGAUCUAAGUUCAAAAUGGGAUAAAACAUAAAAAAAAAAAGAAAGUAAAAAAUUCACCUAGAAACAUUUUAUCAAUUUUAUGAUUUGACCCUUAGAGUACUAGAAAACUAUUAUUACACCUAAAAACAUUUUAGAACUUGUAGCUACAGUCCUAAAUUCUUGUACUACUUGUCAAAUAAGCCUUCCAAUCUGGUUCUAAACUUGUUGACUAUGCAUUAAAGUAUAAUAUGCAUAAAUUGCUACUUAAUUAUACCACUUUAUUUGUAGUUUCAUGUAAAGUAUUUUAGAACACCAAACAUACAUUGAACCUACCUUUCUUAGCAUUAAUAUGUUUUUAGAAAUUCUAUAUAAUAUAUUAAUUUUUAAAAUUAAAUAUAUUUAUGACAUCAUGAUGAUGUUAUUCGGUUCUUGAAUGGGUUCGACCCAUUGACCCGUGACCUCUAAUCUCGACCGAGUUGAUGGCCGAUCCGAGUUUCAAAACAUUGGUUUUAGUCAUUAUAGAGAUCUAGGGAGACAAAAAUAGAGAUUGAAAAGAGAGAAAAAAAAUUUUCUUGCAGAAACCAAAAAAACAAGGCUAACCUAUCAGCCUUGUUCGACGACAUUUUUCUCUUUCAUUAUAGCUCCAUUUUGAUUGAUUAUUUUUUUUGUAUACUCUAUACAUGUAGUAGAAGAACUUUCAUGUUGAAAAUUUCAUGAGAAAACAGCUACAAAGCCACCAAUUUGACAUCAAAUUUGAGGAAAAAUCAGACCUGGUGCCCAAAGUUCUGGGAACUUAGAGUUGAAUCUGUAGUUUCAAAAUCCGUUUGUUUUGGAUCGUUUUCGACUAAUACAUUCAGGUAGAAGCUCUCAAACUUUGGUUACUCUAUUCUUUUUAGUUUGAAUGCAUCUUGGGGAUUUUCUUUGUCAUGUUUUGUUCAUCUAAAGGUCAAGGAUGGCGAAAACUUGCGUAAUUGAUUGAAAACUCAACUUUUUCCUGAUGUUCCAACCUUGGGCAUGGAUAGAAUCUGUGGAUCUUUGUUCAUAUGUUUUACAUACAGUUCUAAUCAUGGAGCUUGAAUUGUAUGAAGUUUUUGUCUUGAAACUUGAUAUGGGUAUAUUGUGUAGGGUUUUAAUCAUGUGCACAUAUAGGGGCCGGGAGGGGGGGUUUGAUGAUUUCAUCCAUACUUAAAUAUGGAUGAAAUUCUUGAUAGGGCAUGCUUAGGAAUUUUUCAGAAAUUGGUGAAGAUUUAGGCUUGUUGUGUCCAUAGUUUCUUCCUUCUUCGUUUUCUUCUCGUUUUGGUUGUUCCUUUUCUUUCUUAGUUUGCUUUUAUUGAUUUUCUGGAGCUUGACUCCAUUUCAUAUAUUGGUGUUUCAUGUGAAGGCUUUAGAUGUGAGCUAAUGGAAAUUGCAAUGGGGUCUUGCUUAAGUAUUGGUUUAGGUUUAGGAUGGACUUGUUUGUUUUUUUAAGAAGCUAAGUUUGUAGAGUUUUUGGUUGGGCUCAUUUGAAUUAUUUUGUUUGGACUUGCUUAUUUUAGAUUGGGUUUAUUGGUGGUUUACUUUUGAUGCAUUAUUUGAGAAUUUUCUAGUUUAUUGUAAAUUCAUUACUCCAAUUAUUUGGAUGGUCUUACAUGGGAGUUUCUAAAAAUAAUAAAAUAUUCUCUAUUUGGCCCCUAAUUUUUGCAUAAUCAUGCUAAGCCCCAAAAAUUGUAAAAAUGGAUAAAUUUCUUCCUUUUAGAGUCUUGAUCUCUUGUUAUGAUGUUUUAUACAUGUUUUGGGUGAAUGAAUUCUGGUUUUUUUUUUAAAGUAUAAUUAGGAUUUAAAUAAAUUUCUUGAGUUUAGAAUUUUAAUUUAGCAACUUUAGAAACUAAUGUAAAUAGUUUUUUAUUUGAUGGUUUAAAGUUAUUUUUGGUGAUUAAAUUAUUCUGGUUUUGAGUAGAUUAUGAAUAAUAGGGUAUAAAAGUUUAUUUUUGAAGAAUUUGCAUUUUGGCCCCUAGAUUUUUAAAAUUUUUAUUUUUGCCCCCAUUGUUUUUAUUUUUCUCACUUUAGUCUUUAAGAAUAUUUGUUCAUAUUUGAAAUGUUAGUUUAUUAUUUUUUUUAUAGCAUUAGUGAGUUUCCUUUUAAAGGAAUUAUGUUUUUUUAUCUCUAACAAUUAAUUGCCAAUUAAAUAGGUGCCUUGACGCGUUUAUUAUUUUUUGAGCAAUAGAUAGCUCUUUCCCUCUUCAUUUAGCCGCUAUUUCAAAAAGGAGGUACCCCUAUUAUCCUCUAAAUUUUAACUAUGUGUUUGUGCGUAUUUAUAUGUUUUAUGUAUUUUUCUUUUAUUUAUUUAUUUUAAACUUUUAUUCAUUUUUAUGUUUGUUUAUUUAAUUCAAGUCUUAUAAUUAUUUGGGGGUAUUUAAAUUAUCAAGAUGUAAUAGAUAGGUUAUAUCUUCUUGUGCAAGAAAUGUAAUUAGAUAGGUUUUAUUUUUGCAAAAAAUGAUUAGAUAGGCAAAUAUAAUUGAGAGGUUAAAUCGCUUUAUUAUCUUAUAUUUCCCCUUUUAGAUUAUAGUUAGGGUCCCAAUGUAAUAGUUAGGUCAUGUGCACUUGUGUGUUUAUGUACUUAUGUGUUUUAUUCGCUUUUUUUAGAAUUUUGCAUUUAAAUAUUAUACUUUGCACUAUGUGCUCUACGUGCUUUAUGUGUUUAUUUGUUUUGAUUAUACUUUAUAUGCUUUAUUAUUAAUAAAUAAUAAGUGCAUGACGCCACCACAUUAAUUCAACACUAGUAUGGCUUUUCUCUCCAUUUCCUCACUAGUCCAAUGCUAAUAAGGACUUGUAGAGAUGAGUUAGUCCAGUGUUAGACCCUUAAGCCAUCCACAUACUAGAUUCAUACUUUUGUGUGAUAUUUAUUACAUUUUCAUGCUUUUUUCUAUCUUAGGUUGUUUUCUUCCAAUUGCAUGAUAUGUCCUCUUGUAUUAUUCUCUUGCCCCUACAUGUGUAAACUAUAUCAUUUAGACUUGUAUUUCAUGUAGAAAAUUAGAAAAUAGGUUAAUUCAUUUGCUUGUCUAGAUUAGAAGAGUCAUCCUUCGAAUAUAAAAAAUAGGUGAGUAUGAUUUCUUAAAUUUAGCACACUAUUACCCCUUUAUAAAAAAGAAAAUCGUGUCAUGAAUUUUAGUUUUUCGUACUUGCUAUGUUACAUUCCUUUUUUUAGGUUAUAUAUAUUUAUCUAUACAUCAUAGUUUUCAUUUCUUCGAAUGUCAUCUUUUGUAUUUUCGUGAUCUCUUCAAGGGAUCAUUCUUGGAUUUCGCAAUUAAUGUAAUUGAUACCAAUUAAAUCUUAAAGAAAUAUUUCAUCCCUCUUGAUAUCCUCUAGGUUGGAUUUCCAUCCAUCUAAAAGCAUCCGAAUGUGAUAAGUUUAAUAAUUAUAUUAGAAAAUUUUUAACUAAAUCUUGUAACUAAUCUUGUUUGGAUUGAAAGGGAGCAUUAAAUUUGAGUGGAUAUAUUUGCUUUCCCUUUCUUAAACCAUGACUCUUGAAUUUUUUCACUCACUUUUAAAGCAUUGAGUCGUAUAAAAGGGUUUUAUCCAUUGUUAUUUUUUAAAAAAAUAUUUUUUGGGUGAUUUGGUACACCUAAACUUAAUACCAAGUGAUGACACUCUUUUUCUAAAAAAAAAUUCUUUUUAGACUGUCAUUUUAGGUUCAAACUGUUGCAUUUUUUAAGUCCUAUUUUUGGCCCUCUUUCUUUAUUUUCUAAAAUUAAAAAGUCACAUUUUUUAACACCUUUCCUUUUAUUUCAACAAUGGGAUCCGACACAUUUCAGAGUCAAUCCUUAGGAGCUGCUUGGUUAAAGGGUUUGAGAAUCACAGAAUGAAAUAAAUCCCUUAUUUGUUGCUUGGGUUAAGUCUAUUGGAAUGCAAUUUUUGGAAUCAUUUCUAAAAAAUGGGACUUAUCCCAUUCCCGAACAAAUUGUGAGGUUUUGGACAAAACCCUCAACUCAUUCCCUCGUACAACAUUUUUGACGGACAUACCCAUCACAUACAAAACUCCUCUACCCUCUCUUUCUCUCCACACGUCGCUCUUUCUGUUAUUCUUCUUCAUCAGUUUUACUAUCUCUUCUGCUUCAUCAUAUAGUCUUCAUCUAUAAUCCAAAAUCUCUUGAAAAAAACAGAUCUAAAGUAUAUCUAAAUGGAUUAAUAGUGGGCAAAUAUCUUCAGUGGACAAAUUGUUCAACAAGAUUUUCACAAGAAAGAUCUCUAAGAAAAAUUGAAGAAAACCCUCAAUCUCGGCAUCGGUGAUGUGUUGAUUUGAACUGUCGUGGCUCUGGAAUUAUGGAUGAAUUCCUAGAAUUGGAGUGAAAAGGAUCAGUUCUGAUUAGUUGGUUUUUUGUAUUGAUUAUGAUGACGAGAUAGUACGUCAGGAUUAAAGAUUGAAUCUUAUGGCAUUGUAAGCGUUUGAGAUUUUUUGGACUGCAUUUGAAUUCUCUGGGAUGCAAUUGUGUGGCUUUGGUUGUCAUUGAUUUGGUUCUUAGAGCCGUCCUAAUCUCUCCUUUCGCUGGUUUUGGAAGGAUAGAACAGAACAAGCUGGUAUUUUUCCGUAACAAUUCUUUGCCACAAAAUCUGCAAUUACAAAUUGGAAACCCAAAUCCAAGACUUUGUAGGCUUUGUGAUUUAACAUUAUUCUGAUUUUAUCCAACUAAUAAAUUAGCUUAUGGAAAAAUGGAAAAAUGGAUAAUUUAUGGAGGAAAGCCAUAAAGAGUUGGUGUUUUAUUGGAAAACGAGUUUAUUUUUAUUUUAUCCGAUAAAUAAAUUUGUUUAUGGGAAAAUGGGUACUUUGUUCUUAUUAUGGAGAAAAGGCAUAAAGAGCUGGUAUUUUAUUGGAAAACGAGUUUAUUUUUAUUUUAUCCGAUAAAUAAAUUUGUUUAUGGGAAAAUGGGUACUCUGUUCUUAUAAUAGAUAAAAAUUAUAAAGAACUGGUCUUUUAUGGGAAAGUGAUACUUUAAUAAUACUUUAUGGGCCAUUUCUUUUUUUAAAAAUAUUUAAUUUAUCUUAAAUAGAUAACCUAUUAAUUCCCUUUUUGUAAGCAUAUUACUAUAACAUUUUUUCAAUUUUACUUACAAACAUUGAUAUAUUUAUCAUAAAUUAAAUGUUUGAAAGUAAAAUCUCCAUAAAGAGCCGGUACUUUAAAUGUUUUAUAAGAAUUAUUAUAUCAGGAGUAAAUAUGAAAUUUAAUUACAUUUAAUUUCGAAAUACUCAUCAAAUCAAGCAUCAGGAAUUGGAAUGAUGCUAAUUCUAAUGUGUGAACUAAGCUAAAUAUUGGAAUAAAAAGUUUAAUUUCAAAACCAGAGUCUAUGAUUCCAUUUCCAUUUCCGAUUUCAAUCUGUGAAACAAGCACCCCCUUAGUUUGUUCAAAGAACUUAGUAGGAAUAAGUUCUUCGUAGAUGCAACUAAGGUCAGCUUCAGGAUCAAAGAGGGCUUCUGUUUCAAGGAUUUAAUCAUCAUAGAUAAUUAGUUUGAUUUGGACCAGGAAUUUUUAGUAAAAAUUCUAGACAAUUGGUUUAGGAAUUCUGUAUCAUCUUGUAUGAUUGAGUUUUUUGGUAUGGUUUCAAAGGAUUUUGGUUGUGAGGUAGCAAAGUUUUAUAAGACAAGGUUAUCUAAAUUUUGUUUUGCUUUAAUUGCUCUAAUUUCUCUUUGAGAAGAGCAAUUUCAAGCUAAAGGUCGUGGAUUGAUAUUGGUUUUGUUGGUUUGGAUGGGAAUUGGUUAAGAAUGUCUGUAAGGUUAUAGUUGUUAAGAAGUACGGGCUUUCUGGCUAAUGGGUCUGACGAAAUGUUCGAAGGAAUACUUGGUGAUUUGUUUAGGGAUUUUUUGAAUUUAUUGAGAUAAAACUGUAUCUUUUCAGGGUCAAGAAAGGUUUCUACGAUGUCGAGGAGAAGGUUCUGUUCCUUUGUCAAGAUGUUUACAGUUGCUUGUCCUUAUUUUUUCAUCUUCAUCACUACUGAUAGUAGACAAAGAAGAAACAUCAUCAUUCUCAAGUUGGUUUGCAUAGUUUUCUUCUUCACGUUCUAAAUCAUCAUUGUCGGCUUCUACAAAGAGGUUGGUUAAUUGGUUCAGUACUUGUUUGUCAAGACCAAGGGUGCUGAUUCUUUUGUUUAGUUUGCAAUAUCUGGUUAUAUAUCCAGGUUGUUUGCAUCUAUGGCAGACAAUUGCUGGUAAGACUAGGGAGUUUUGGAUAGAAGUUGGGUUAGGAUUUUCUGGGGGAGGUAAUGGUUUUCUAGGUUUAAAAGGUAGGGUUUUUCUUUUUUGUUGAGAAGGUUUUGAUGAGGUUUUACAUUUUCUUGUGGUUUUUGUAUGAUAGUUGGAUAGGCCAAACUGUCCACAGAAAGAACCAAAAUCCUUUGUUCUUUGUGCUUGGUCUUUUGCACAUUGUCUGAGCAUCUUGUCUGACCUGCAAAUUUUUAGAGCAACUCGUUGGACUUGACUAGUUAGUUAUCCGUAGGUAAUUGUUUCCCAUGGUACAACACCAUCAUAUUGGUUUCAUAUUUCUUCUCGGACAAGGGCUCUUAAUGAUUUGGGAAGGCCCUCUAAGAGCUUUCUUUUCAAUAUGCUUCAUGACUAUCUGAUCUUGAGUAUAUACGGGUCAGGAAAGUGUCUUUAUACCAUUGAAAAUCUAAAAGAUUCCUGCAUUGAGAUUGUUGAGUAAUUCUAAGGACUUGUCUAUGAAUAUCCCUGGAUCACCAAUGAAUAUUUUUGCGAUUGUGAAUAUUAGGGUUGCUACUACAUUUGAGAUAGUUUCAGCAACCUGUAGGAUUGAUUCUCCAUCUGCAUCUAGUUUGAUUACAUUUAGAAUUUUCUCUUUGUCUUCUGAAGUGAGAUAUACAUCCCACCAUCCUUUGAGCUGUCCUAUAAAUCCUGUAAUGAGACAUGAGUUCGGUAUGCUUCGUUCAUGAAGAGGCUUUUGAUUUAGUAAGAAGGUGUUCUCUUUGGGUUUGUAGAUACUUGUUGGUAUAGUUAUAUUACUCAUAGAGUUCCUAUAUAUCUUGUGCAUCUACUGGACCUCCUUCUUAGGCGACUUUUAGUUUAAAAGGUUUGGCACUAAUUUCUAUGAAUUUGUAUAAGAAAGUAUUGGACCUUGAUGCGUGAAUUUCCCCUUCUAAUGUUUGCCAUUUUUUUUGAAACACACAGUGAUAGCGAGAAUAGGUACUCUAUUUCAUUCCUUAGAGCAUAGAUCUUGGACCAGUCAAAGAAGUGAAUGUGUUGUUUUUUCUUCCUAGGAAACUGUAGAAAGUUUCUUGGAUUACCUUCCUUGGUUCUCCUUUGAAGUUGUCAAAGAACCACUGUCUCUUUGGUUGAUUGUGUUCUGUAUAGAAUUCUUUUCCGAGACUCUCCUUGUUGAUCUGGUAUUCAGAAGUAAAAAACUCUCACUGUUGGCUGUGGAUUGUUUGUCGUGGUUGAAUAUAUACGAGAUACAGGAAGAUCUACUUGGACAGUAUUUUCUUCAGAGGAUUCUCCUUGAUUUUCUGAAGUAGCUUCUGUUUGAAUUGUAUAUCUUGCUUGAGGGAUUUUUGAGGAUAGAUUCAAGUUGUGUAAUCUGGUAGAGAUUGAAGAAGUUGAACGUCUUCCAAUAUUUGAAAUAUCCAUACUGGUAUUGGUUGAGGAAGAGGCCCUAAAGCUCCUCGAUCUAUCAAACUUGAUUUGAACUAUCCUACUAGUGAGUUGUUUGAUACUCGAAACUGUUGUGUUUUGGAUUGAUACAUUGGGAACUAUCUCCGGCAACAUCUAGUCAUCUGGAAGGGAUGCUUCAUCUUAGGUGAUUUUUCUAGGCAUAAAUAUCCUAGAUCUGGUUAGAUCUGUUUGGACUCCUUUUUUUUGUCCGUCUUCAAGACUCCAGUGCUGAACACUGAGCUCAUCACCUUGUGUUGUAUCCUGUAAAUACUAGCAACAGGAAGAGUUCCAAUUUUUGUUUUAUAGUUAGUUGUUUUUAUGUUUAAAGUCUAUGCGUCUAAAAUGUUUCUUCUAUCCUGAAGAGAUAUUUUGAAGUUUAUAAAGCAAUUGAAGUAGAUCGGUCCUCCGUAUAAGCUUGUUUCAACCAUUCCAAACAAGGAGCCGUUGAAAUUUAAGAAUAUGCAAUCUCGUAGACAAAGUCGAGAUAUGUUGAAUCAUUCCCUUGUUAAGGAUUUAAUUACAAUUUGUGCAAGUCCAAAAUGGAUGUAGUUGUAUUUUUGUUGAUGCCUUUCAAUGGAUUUUUUUUUUUCUUAUAAGAGUUCGAUUUUUUCAUGCUCAGCAUUUAGAGCAAUAGUUUGUUCAACUAAUCAUAUCUGAUUUUCCAUUGUUUACUAUUUUGAUAUAUUUCAUGCUCUUGAUACCUAAGAAUUUCCUAGUUAUUAAUUUCGUGAUUAAUGUCUCGUAUGUUUAUUUCUUCUUUUAAACAAGUAUUUGAACAAGAGAUAUUUGAAGAAAUAAAAUUUUUAAAACUAGAUCUAAAGAAAGAAGCCAUUAAUAACAAAAUUAAAUAAGUAAAUGAUAAAAUCGAAGAUAAAUAAGUAAAUCAACAAAAAAUACUAAGACGAAAGAUAUGUAGAGUUUCGCUUCCCCUUGGUACAGAUCCUUCAGAAUCCAUAAGGGACAAACAUAUCAUUUAGACAAAUUAUGACAUAGAUGGUAUGGAUCUAAAAGAUCAGGUCUGACUUUAGAGCCACUUACCACCCUAGGUACUAUCAUUCUUCAAGGACCUAUUUAGGCCUACAGGUCAUAUUGCCAAAUCCCAUUGUCUUACUGUCUAAACCGCCCUCAAAGGCUCUUAAAGUUUGUUGUUCGGGCGGCAAGAUCUGAACUCGUAGAUACAUACUAGCAAUAUCAUAACAACCUAAGCAACACAUUCAUCACUCCACUUCCCCCUCUGACUCUGAUACCGGAGGAGGAAGUCCCUCGACAUACUAGCAGAUCUUGUUAUGAUACUCUUUGAUAGGGGUAUACGAAAUGGUGACCAGCAUUCACAACAGGCUUUAUUCAACCAGCAAACAUUCAAGCAUGGCAUCAGAAAAACCCAAAAUCAAUCAAAUCAGGAGAUCUAUAAACAAGCCAGUUUGCAACAGAAGUCAAUUACAACAGCAAAACUAUCUCAAUCAUGGAUAAACAAGAAUUUGUCCAGCAAUUGACAAAUUCUCUCUCAACUCCAAUCAAAAGGAAAACCACAAGUAUCUAAACAAGAACCAAAGUCCUCAAGCUCAGAAGAAAGUUUUGAUAGACUACAACAAAAUGAAGAUGAUUGUUAUGGGAUUUUCUCACAAAUUCCAUAAAUUUUACAAAAAUAAACAAUGUAGGAAUUCAUUGUAGUACCAGAAAAUACUGUAGCAAUUUGGCAAGUUACUAUGUAAAUACGGCAGAAAAAAUUGCACUAGACAUUGUAGUAUGCACUGUAGUAGUACUGUACACUGCAAUAAGUACUGUAGCCGAAUGAAAAUUUUGCUCUAAAUACCCUUCAAACUCACCAUUCUAAACACACUUUCUUCAGCUCACUUCUCUCUCUAAGUCGAAUAAAUCCUCCUCCUCCUCUCGAGAAUACAAACAACUUACCCGAAUAUUCUUAUAGAAGACAAACCAAACAUCCUCCAAAACUCUUACAAUGCAAACAAUGUCUAUGAAUGGAUCAUAGAUGGAGUUUCUGAAUAUAACAUACUUGACAUAUAAUAAGGCAGGAAAAUCUGCUAUGGAAGCCUCUUGCAUUCUUCAUUGUAUAUGGGUAACCUUGAAAUACAACAUGGUGAGAAAAAUCUGUCACAAAGCCUCUUGCAUACUUCACCAUGCAUGGGGGUUAAUGUUUAUGACAGAUCGACGACUAUUUCCAUCUGGACAAACUAAAACACUUAAUGAAGAACUAUUUAAUCAGUUCUAAACUUCCACACCCUAAUGCAUUUAUCAUUAUUCAUUGUAACAACUUUCUGCAUCCCAACAGCUAAGCACGUGAUAGGUGGUCUAGGAGCUAUAGGCAGACGAUCAACCUGAACAUCUUCAGAGAGCCUUCUCACCUUCUUUGUUUCAAUGAUUUGAUGAUGCCUGUCUUUUGAUCGACUUGAUACACCAGUAGCAUCGUCAACAAUGCAUCUUGAGAGUACUUGACCUGUAUCCUGGUCCAGAAUUCUUAUGAUACCAUCUAUACCACCAAUGACUAAUGUUGAUGUGUCAUUCCUCAGGUGAUUUAUCGAAUAAAGAACGU